RNAcentral lists this ribosomal RNA (263 nucleotides) under uncultured Anaerolineaceae bacterium. RNAcentral's name for it is "partial 16S ribosomal RNA". It matches the Rfam family "Bacterial small subunit ribosomal RNA", at positions 1105 to 1382 of the family's 1533-position model. The record is from RNAcentral. Lineage: Bacteria; Bacillati; Chloroflexota; Anaerolineae; Anaerolineales; Anaerolineaceae.
CGCUGUGUGUUACAAGUGUCACACGGAACUGCCGGUCAUAAACCGGAGGAAGUGGGAUGACGUCAAGUCAGCAUGGCCUUUAUAUCCCUGGGCUACACACACGCUACAAUGGGAAGGGACAAUAGGUUGCGAAGCCGCGAGGUGGAGCCAAUCCAGCAAAACUUCCCUCAGUUCAGAUUGCAGGCUGCAACUCGCCUGCAUGAAGUUGGAGUUGCUAGUAAACGCAGGUCAGCCAUACUGCGUUGAAUACGUUCCCGGGGCUU